Long non-coding RNA from Saccostrea cuccullata (small rock oyster), 628 nucleotides. RefSeq lists it as uncharacterized. The transcript has 3 exons. Lineage: Eukaryota; Metazoa; Mollusca; Bivalvia; Ostreida; Ostreidae. The record is from RefSeq and is a predicted model, not a curated record.
CCAAAUCCCCGGAUGAACACAUGGCUUUGUUUGUUAUGGAACAUUAAACCGAAUACUGAAUGGGUAGGCGUUACGCCAUUGGCUGAAAUCAGCACUUUAGAGGAAUUUCAUCUUUCAGCUUUCUUGGCCCCGGGAGUGUUCGGUCUCUGAUCAGCAGGGGCAUUUUCUCUACAUAAGAAGAAAAUGGAGAUUCCAUACCCACCUGAUGUAUUUUGUCGGACAGUUUUCUGUACUUUGCAGUCUCCAAUAUAUCCAAAUAUCAUCACCGCCCCAGACGUCAUUCACUCCAUUGAAUUGUGCUGGAAGCAGUAAGGUGUCAUCAUUUGAGAUGGUCACAGUAUCCAAUACACUGAAGUCACAGGACUCAAAUUUCAUACAUGUUCACAGGUAGGUGUAUAGUCUUUGAAAUUACCACAAUUGACUAAUUCUGAGAUAGGUAAGUAUGUGAGUAUAGGAAAGAGAGCACCAAAUCCCCGGAUGAACACAUGGCUUUGUUUGUUAUGGAACAUUAAACCGAAUACUGAAUGGGUAGGCGUUACGCCAUUGGCUGAAAUCAGGUAUUUAAUUGUUUUCAUUUUAAAGUAAAAUUAAUGACCUUUGAAAUAAAUGAUGGGAUGAGGGAAUAUUA